GUACACUCCUACGGGAGGCAGCAGUGGGGAAUAUUGGACAAUGGGCGCAAGCCUGAUCCAGCCAUGCCGCGGGAGGGAUGAAGGCCCUAGGGUUGUAAAGCUCUUUCACCGGGGAAGAUAAUGACGGUAACCGGAGAAGAAGCCCCGGCUAACUUCGUGCCAGCAGCCGCGGUAAUACGAAGGGGGCUAGCGUUGUUCGGAUUUACUGGGCGUAAAGCGCACGUAGGCGGACUAUUAAGUCAGGGGUGAAAUCCCGGGGCUCAACCCCGGAACUGCCUUUGAUACUGGUAGUCUUGAGUUCGAGAGAGGUGAGUGGAAUUCCGAGUGUAGAGGUGAAAUUCGUAGAUAUUCGGAGGAACACCAGUGGCGAAGGCGGCUCACUGGCUCGAUACUGACGCUGAGGUGCGAAAGCGUGGGGAGCAAACAGGAUUAGAUACCCGUGUAGUCCCAUGA
RNAcentral lists this ribosomal RNA (453 nucleotides) under uncultured organism. RNAcentral describes it as "partial 16S ribosomal RNA". It matches the Rfam family "Bacterial small subunit ribosomal RNA", at positions 331 to 800 of the family's 1533-position model. The record is from RNAcentral.